RNAcentral lists this ribosomal RNA (269 nucleotides) under uncultured bacterium. RNAcentral describes it as "partial 16S ribosomal RNA". It matches the Rfam family "Bacterial small subunit ribosomal RNA", at positions 87 to 354 of the family's 1533-position model. The record is from RNAcentral.
UUAUUUUAGCGGCGGACGGGUGAGUAACGUGUGGGCAACCUGCCUUUUACUGGGGAAUAAUCGUUGGAAACGACGACUAAUACCGCAUACGGUUCUUAGAAGGCAUCUUCUGAGAAAGAAAGGAUUAAUUCGGUAAAAGAUGGGCCCGCAUCUGAUUAGCUAGUUGGUGGGAUAACAGCCCACCAAGGCGACGAUCAGUAGCCGACCUGAGAGGGUGACCGGCCACAUUGGGACUGAGACACGGCCCAAACUCCUACGGGAGGCAGCAG